This is a non-coding RNA of Pelobates cultripes (western spadefoot toad), 1134 nucleotides long. The record is from the annotation of a GenBank genome assembly. NCBI's taxonomy places the organism in Eukaryota, Metazoa, Chordata, Amphibia, Anura, Pelobatidae.
GUAAACUUGAAACAUAUAUGAACAACAUUCCCACAGCGGUGCUGUUGUAGUUAGACAGCACAUAAAUUGAAUCUAUUGAAAAGAAAACCACCUCUAUUUCAUACAGAAUAACAGACAACAAAAGGAUCAGUGCUAAUUAACAGACACAUGAACAGGCAGCAACCCAAUUAAGGAGAUCCCUCACAAACCCUUAAAAUAAAUAAAGAGAGAGAACAGCAAAAGCAAAAGGGUUGCGCCAGAAUGAAUACAAAUGAUAAAAGCGCGUGACAAACAUUUUUUUCCCACAAACGUUUGCCACGAACUCCUGGAAGCUGGCCUCCUGCCCACCAACUAUGGUCGAGGUCUGAGACACCGUUUGGGAGUUGCCCUGCCCAGUCGCCAUUAGUAACUUUCCCUGCGUGCUCCUAGUCCUACAUGUGAAUGCAACCGAACGCUAGCUCCCUGGCGGACGUUCACAUGAAGCAAACCAUAAAUAGUGCUUAGCAGUACUUAGUUGCGACCGCUAUGAAACUACUUUCGGCAUGACGGCUUUGUGGGUUCCCAGUCACCUUUAGGGACUUAGCCGUGAAUGUUAUGAAACUGUUUUCGGUAUGAGGUGGCCGUGCUGUUCCCAGACAACUUGGUUCGUGGUUUUGAACCUUUUUAAAAAAAAAAAAAAAUCCACCAGAAGAGAGCUUUUUCGAGGGAAGGUGUCUGAGACUAAGGGGAACAACCGCUACCUAAAAUCCAGGUGGUACAUCCCGUAAGUUGGGCAUAGGACCACGUGUGCGGCCGGUCAGAACUUUAACAUAGGGGUGUAUACCCUACAUUGCAUGGAUCUGUGCACUGUUUGGAGAACUUGGGCGCUCAGAUCAGGGCUAUUUGGGGAUGUAUUAUUUGUGGGGUUAUUGUAUAUUUUUAUGAUGUUUUGGGGUAUUGUUAUGUUAUAUGUUUACUUCUCUGUUACUGGGAGAUAAUUAGCUUACCGAUCUUUAACGCAAUUAUCUCCCACGCCCAGAGACUCCUGGGAGGGACUUGUGCUGAAUACAAUGGAGACUCCCUGCUGGGGUCUGUGCAUAAAAGGCAAAGUUUGGCUGAUUAAAAUCCGUUGUACUCCCAGCACUAUGUGUCAUCUAUUUACUAGGGGAGGGAAGG